UGGGGAAUAUUGCACAAUGGGCGAAAGCCUGAUGCAGCAACGCCGCGUGGGUGAUGAAGGCCUUCGGGUUGNAAAGCUCUGUCUUUUGGGACGAUAAUACGGUACCAAAGGAGGAAGCCACGGCUAACUACGUGCCAGCAGCCGCGGUAAUACGUAGGUGGCAAGCGUUGUCCGGAUUUACUGGGCGUAAAGGAUGCGUAGGCGGAUUUUUAAGUGAGAUGUGAAAACCCUAAGCUUAACUUGGGGACUGCAUUUCAUACUGGAAAUCUAGAGUGCGGGAGAGGAGAAUGGAAUUCCUAGUGUAGCGGUGAAAUGCGUAGAGAUUAGGAAGAACACCAGUGGCGAAGGCGAUUCUCUGGACCGUAACUGACGCUGAGGCAUGAAAGCGUGGGUAGCAAACAGGAUUAGAUACCCUGGUAGUCCACGCCGUAAACGAUGAGUACUAGGUGUAGGAGGUAUCGACCCCUUCUGUGCCGCAGUUAACACAAUAAGUACUCCGCCUGGGAAGUACGAUCGCAAGAUUAAAACUUAAAUGAAUUGACGGGGUCAUAGCUGUUUCCU
This 561-nucleotide ribosomal RNA is filed under the name uncultured bacterium. Its description in RNAcentral is "partial 16S ribosomal RNA". It matches the Rfam family "Bacterial small subunit ribosomal RNA", at positions 355 to 1375 of the family's 1533-position model. The record is from RNAcentral.